Long non-coding RNA from Trichechus manatus latirostris (Florida manatee), 835 nucleotides. RefSeq lists it as uncharacterized. The transcript is spliced from 3 exons. Lineage: Eukaryota; Metazoa; Chordata; Mammalia; Sirenia; Trichechidae. The record is from RefSeq and is a predicted model, not a curated record.
UGAGUGCCUCUAAGCAAAUGAUGCUCCUCUGGAGUAUGACCCUGAAAGGGAUGGGAGGAGGUGGUGUCACCCCUGGAGCUGUCCAAGGGCCGAUUUGCUUCGCCCACGGUGGUGUCAGGGACAGCUUCUCCCUCGAGCCCUACGCUUUGUAUUUGGAUCCUCUGCAUCAUGUGGUCCCCGUGGGAAGGCUCUGCUGUGGGCCCUGAAGGUGGGCCAUGCUGUGGGUCGACACACCCAAGGCCCGGGGAGGCCAAGGGGGCCCGGCUGCCCGUCCAAGAGGCCACGAGGCAGGUAGCGCCCACCCAGGCAGAGCCAGCAGCUGCACAGUGCUCGCCGGUCCUGUGGGCAGCAGGGAACCCAGCUGGGUCUGCCAGCCUGAGGACGGGGGAGCAGGCAGUGAGGGCACGUUGUGGGGACCCACAGUCCCAGUUUGCCUGGGAGUGAGGGGCUUCACAGGAUGCAGGACUUUGAGCAGGCCCAGGCAAACCUGACGACUGGUCGUCCUCGUUGAGAAGCAGCAGAGACAACCAAGAGGAAGGCAAGAAAAGCGGUUGCAGUUCAAGCAGCAGGUCUGCGAGGAAGACAAAGGUUCUGUGACCUGGCACCAAGAGAAGGCCCUGUGCUCAUCUUCUGCGGCGGCUAAAGGGGCCAUCACUCACCUCACGAUAGGCAGUGCUGAGGAUGGAGACAAAUUCCAGACUGUUCUCCCGGACCAGGGAUGGCGCGGCACUGCAGACAACAGAGAAGGCUGAGAGGCCCGCCCCACCAGCAGGGCAGGGCUAAGCGUGGAGAUAUAAGGGAAGCAAGCAGGACACACGGGAACCUCAUACCACCA